GACUACCAACAAAUACUGAAUAUUAACACUUUGAAACAGUGGUAGUUAAAUAUAAAACCAGUGUUUCCCCAGUUACAUUGCUUGUGUUCAUUAGAGAGACAGUGAGACUACCAAGAAAUACUUGAUGUCCAUCUAUCUUUCUUUGACUACCUUUUUUACUUACUAGAGAAGAUAAUGAUACUGUUAGGAGAUACAAAAUUGGGGCAGGAGUUGGAACCUGACAUUUUUCUGCUGUGCAUAUGAUAGCUGCAAAAUUUGUUAGCUUUUUUUUUUUUUUUGAUGUGUACCUCUUGCUUAGUACUUUUAUUUCCAUAAUUACUGUUUUCCCAUAUUAAUAUUUUAUAAGAUAUAUUUGUCUGCAUGUGUAUUUUUAUAAUUCUCCAACUUUUAAGAUCCUUUAGGUGGUUACUAAUGUGAAGCAUCAAGGAAGGCUGACCAUUUUAUUGGAGCCUCUCUGUAUAAGCAUUCAUCCAUUCUCUUGGAUCACACAGACUUUUUUGGUUCUGUCUAUUGCUAGGACCUAAAGGAUUUUGUCCCAUGUACUACCAAAUCCAGGGAACAUAACAGAUAUGUUAUAGAGACUUACUGUUUUAGAUGGAGGAAUCCUGGUAACUAGCAGUUGGAUGCAUAAUAGUAUGUGCUUAAUAAAUGUUUGAGUUGACCUGAUUCUUAACAGUCAGUCUGAUUUUCUGAUAGAGUGAAUAGCAGCAUUAAUAGGCAUAGGGGCAUCUGGGUGGCUCAGUUGUUGGGUGUCUGCCUUUGGUUUAGGGCAUGAUCCU
Molecule: long non-coding RNA, 779 nt
Organism: Mustela erminea (ermine)
Lineage: Eukaryota; Metazoa; Chordata; Mammalia; Carnivora; Mustelidae
Exons: 3
Source: RefSeq, a predicted model, not a curated record